This 801-nucleotide ribosomal RNA is filed under the name uncultured bacterium. RNAcentral describes it as "bacterial SSU rRNA". It matches the Rfam family "Bacterial small subunit ribosomal RNA", at positions 63 to 837 of the family's 1533-position model. The record is from RNAcentral.
CGAGGAAUAGAAUGCUUGCAUUCUAUAACCGAGUGGCGAACGGGUGAGUAACACGUGACCAACCUGUCUUCAGGUGAGGGACAACCUGGGGAAACCCGGGCUAAUACCGCAUAAUGUCUUUUUUUUCACAUGGGAGAGAGACCAAAGGGGGCCUCUGCUUGCAAGCUCUCGCCUGAUGAGGGGGUCGCGUCGUAUCAGCUUGUUGGUGAGGUAACGGCUCACCAAGGCAAUGACGCGUAGCGGGUCUGAGAGGACGAUCCGCCACAUUGGGACUGAGAUACGGCCCAGACUCCUACGGGAGGCAGCAGUAGGGAAUAUUGCGCAAUGGUCGAAAGACUGACGCAGCGACGCCGCGUGUGGGAGGAAGCCUUUCGGGGUGUAAACCACUGUCAGGAGGGAAGAACCCCGAGUGUUCGAAUAGGGCACUCGAUUGACGGUACCUCCAGAGGAAGCGCCGGCUAACUCCGUGCCAGCAGCCGCGGUAAGACGGAGGGCGCAAGCGUUGUUCGGAAUUACUGGGCGUAAAGCGCACGCAGGCGGUUUGCUCAGUCCUAUGUGAAAGCCCGGGGCUCAACCCCGGAAUUGCAUGGGAUACUGGCAGACUGGAGACUGGUAGAGGCUAGCGGAAUUCCUGGUGUAGCGGUGGAAUGCGUAGAUAUCACGAAGAACACCUGUGGCGAAGGCGGCUAGCUGGGCCAGAUCUGACGCUCAUGUGCGAAAGCGUGGGGAGCAAACAGGAUUAGAUACCCUGUAGUCCACGCCGUAAACGAUGGGCACUAGAUGCCUGGGCAUAUAGACGUG